Molecule: ribosomal RNA, 497 nt
Filed under: uncultured bacterium
Lineage: Bacteria
Description: partial 16S ribosomal RNA
Rfam family: Bacterial small subunit ribosomal RNA
Source: RNAcentral
GAUGAACGCUGGCGGCGUGCCUAAUACAUGCAAGUCGAGCGAACGGACGAGAAGCUUGCUUCUCUGAUGUUAGCGGCGGACGGGUGAGUAACACGUGGAUAACCUACCUAUAAGACUGGGAUAACUUCGGGAAACCGGAGCUAAUACCGGAUAAUAUUUUGAACCGCAUGGUUCAAAAGUGAAAGACGGUCUUGCUGUCACUUAUAGAUGGAUCCGCGCUGCAUUAGCUAGUUGGUAAGGUAACGGCUUACCAAGGCAACGAUGCAUAGCCGACCUGAGAGGGAGUUGGGCCACCUGGGACCUGAGACCCGGCCCAGACUCCUAAGGGAGGCUGCAAGGGGGUAUCGUGAGAAUGGGAGGAAGCCGUGAGGGCCAAGGCGCGGGGGGUGGGGAGGGUUUGACGGAUCAAAGACCUCUUUUAUAAGGGAAAAGCAUUUGGGUAAUUAACUGUGAAUUUCUGCCCGGUACAUAACAAGAAAGCCAGGCCAAACUUGGGG